UUGAACGCUGGCGGCAUGCUUUACACAUGCAAGUCGAACGGCAGCGGGGGCUUCGGCCUGCCGGCGAGUGGCGAACGGGUGAGUAAUGCAUCGGAACGUGCCCAGUCAUGGGGGAUAACUACGCGAAAGCGUAGCUAAUACCGCAUACGCCCUGAGGGGGAAAGCGGGGGAUCGCAAGACCUCGCGUGAUUGGAGCGGCCGAUGUCGGAUUAGCUUGUUGGUGAGGUAAAGGCUCACCAAGGCGACGAUCCGUAGCUGGUCUGAGAGGACGACCAGCCACACUGGAACUGAGACACGGCCCAGACUCCUACGGGAGGCAGCAGUGGGGAAUUUUGGACAAUGGGCGAAAGCCUGAUCCAGCCAUGCCGCGUGAGUGAAGAAGGCCUUCGGGUUGUAAAGCUCUUUCAGCCGGAAAGAAAUCGCGCAGGCUAAUACUCUGCGUGGAUGACGGUACCGGAAGAAGAAGCACCGGCUAACUACGU
This 482-nucleotide ribosomal RNA is filed under the name uncultured bacterium. RNAcentral describes it as "bacterial SSU rRNA". It matches the Rfam family "Bacterial small subunit ribosomal RNA", at positions 29 to 506 of the family's 1533-position model. The record is from RNAcentral.